This 1280-nucleotide long non-coding RNA is filed under the name Gallus gallus (chicken). Lineage: Eukaryota; Metazoa; Chordata; Aves; Galliformes; Phasianidae. The record is from RNAcentral.
CGCUGGGCGGUUGCUGUGGUGACAGUCCUGCGGGCGCGGGCGGAGGUGUCAUGGCCGCACGGCGGUGCAGGAGGCCCUGCGCGCUUCCCCCCCUUUUGGCGGCGGCUCGCGGUGCCCCUCAAGGCGACUCGGCCUCGAAGGCUCAGCCCGGCGUGGGGGGCGGCAGCGAAUCCCAGUGUCUUGGCGGUUCCCUUAUACGAGAGGUGUAGGAAACCCGGUGCCUGCCGUAUUAAUUAAUGCGUGUGGUCAUUAAUCUUCAGUCCAAAGGGCUCCAAUCUUUCACUUUACAGCUUACAAUCACAUCCAAAUUUUCAUGCUAAUUUAGAAAAAAUUACAGAAUUGCAACGGUUGGGAGAGACCUCGAGAUCGUCAAGUCCAACCCCCUUACUAAAGCGGUUACCCUACAACAGGUCACACAGCCUCAUAAGGACAGAAACAAGAAUAUCUUUCAAGAGGCUGUGUGUUACAUUACUGUAUGGGAACUGCUGAGUCAUGGCCUGAACCACUGAUUGAUCACCUGUGAAAAGGACUGGAUCAGCCCUGGGAGCACAGGGUUUCCAAGAAGGCAAUGUAAAGGAUAUCCAACGUCAACAAGUGCUUUUGUUGCCAAUGCCUACUGCAGAGGAGGGUGAGGAGGCUGCCAAGAAGAGUUUCAGAAUGGAUGAAAGCCCUACACCAAACAAAGGUCUAAAGGCUGUGGUCGAGAGCAGGCAUGGACUGACCAACUAUCCACCAUUUUUGCCUCCAAAUAUUUUCCAAGUUUUAACCCUUCAUGAGAGGCUGUUCUUGUCUUGCUCAGGUGAUGUGUCUCACCUGGAAGCUGUCCUGAAAGGAUGAGAAAUCUUGUCAUUCUUUCUUCCUACGCUGAACUAACAAUCAAGACACGACUGGACUCACUGGUUAUUGUGACGCUGGCAGGCAGGGUCUGGGCACGGCUGGAGGCUGGAGUGCUCUGAGUUGUCGGGGACACUUCGAUUUUGUCAGAUGAGAUAGCUGAUGUGAUGGCCUGAAUCCACGUGUUCAUCUCCUCCUUCAAGAAGCCCGAAAGGUAGAAAGCUGUUACAAUACAUGCACCACACUCCCUCGCUCAUUCAGCAUUGCAAAUGGGGAAUGGAUAGAAGUGGGGAAUUAAACACAGCCCUAACUCAUAAUCUGGCACUCCUCUGGUUAUGCACCUGCAGGAGCUGUCUACUUCAAUCUGUAUCUAAUACCUUCUCAAUCUAUGCAUUAUGCACACAUGCAUACAUGACUGGAGACCAGAAAAUUAAAGUGUACUCCUA